Molecule: ribosomal RNA, 301 nt
Filed under: uncultured bacterium
Lineage: Bacteria
Description: partial 16S ribosomal RNA
Rfam family: Bacterial small subunit ribosomal RNA
Source: RNAcentral
CAGCCGCCGCGGGAACACGAAGGGUGCAAGCGUUAAUCGGAAUUACUGGGCGUAAAGAGUGCGUAGGCGGUUUGUUAAGUCUGUUGUGAAAUCCCCGGGCUCAACCUGGGAAUGGCAAUGGAUACUGGCAAGCUAGAGUGUGUCAGAGGAUGGUGGAAUUCCCGGUGUAGCGGUGAAAUGCGUAUAGAUCGGGAGGAACAUCAGUGGCGAAGGCGGCCAUCUGGGACAACACUGACGCUGAGGCACGAAAGCGUGGGGAGCAAACAGGAUUAGAGACCCCCGUAGUCCCUGUCUCUUAUAC